UACGAAGGGGGCUAGCGUUGCUCGGAAUGACUGGGCGUAAAGGGCGCGUAGGCGGACUGCACAGUCAGGCGUGAAAUUCCUGGGCUUAACCUGGGGACUGCGUCUGAGACGUGUGAUCUAGAGUGAGGAAGAGGGUCGUGGAAUUUCCAGUGUAGAGGUGAAAUUCGUAGAUAUUGGAAAGAACACCGGUGGCGAAGGCGGCGACCGGGUCCUUGAAUGACUCUGAGGCGUGAAAGCGUGGGGAGCAAACAGG
Molecule: ribosomal RNA, 253 nt
Filed under: uncultured bacterium
Lineage: Bacteria
Description: partial 16S ribosomal RNA
Rfam family: Bacterial small subunit ribosomal RNA
Source: RNAcentral